Non-coding RNA from Oryzias latipes (Japanese medaka), 1473 nucleotides. The record is from RefSeq and is a predicted model, not a curated record. Lineage: Eukaryota; Metazoa; Chordata; Actinopteri; Beloniformes; Adrianichthyidae.
UUCCUUGUCUGUUAACAAUUUUGAAAUAGUCUUUUUUUAGUUUGAUUAUUCUCCAUCUUAACAUUUAAACUACCAAAAAUCUCCUCCAUCUAGUGACCCGUAUGUUUUAGUUCAUAUAUGUGCUCCUGCGCAUCUAAUUCAAGUCACUGUGACUCACUUCCAGGCUCCUGCUGAUGAAACUGGACAUGUCAAAGCGAAGAAAAAGGUUUGAAACACUCAGGGCAGUUUUUAUGGCAUUGGAAGCUACAAAAUUGUGGCUUUAUAAUAAGACAAAAGUGAAACACAAGCAGAAGAAAAGGUGUUAAAAUGGGUUCAAAGCUUUAGCUGUAAAACACUCAGCAGCUUCAGCUUUCUGUGAUUCUUGCUUUCAUUUGUAACCUACAUGAGAAUGAUAUUUAAAUGUUUUUGUGACUAUGUACUAUGGAUGAUAAAAAACCCUGCCGAACCACCUGUGCAGAAGCUGUUUGCUACAGAACAUCUUGUCUGAACGGUUGGGUCACCAGGUGAUGCUGCUUGUCCUGCUGAUGCAGGUGGAAAAGGGUCAAUCGACCAAGAAGCUGCAAGCUCUGCUGCUGUUUUCCUCAUGAUCUGCUCUAAACAACGUUCUGUCUGUGAAGAAAUGAAGGGUGGGAGGGUUUUCCCUAAAAUUAGGGUCUAUUUGGUAGAAUAGUGUUGCCCACAAAGCUUCACCUUCCAUGUGAUCAGGCUUUAGAGCGCCCUCUGCUGAUCAGCACUGGUGCAGUUUCCUCUGCUCACUUGAAAGCAGCUCCACUGAACACAGCAUGGCUUUUCUCAUUCUGUCCGCUGUGUAAUUGGACCAUGACCCGCUUUGAGUGCAUGUGACCCGUGUCCAAUAAGCAGUGAGCCAAGUUAAACUAUCGCACCUGUUCACAUGUGGUCCUGCAUUCAGUGAAGUGGACGUCCUGGUUCUCUCACUUCUCUGUCCUCCUGCUGGCAGCAGAAAAGCUGCAGACGUUUGAUCUUCAUCACCUCUGAGGAGGACAUUGAGCGCAUGUCCAGGAGGUCAUUUAAUUUAUGCUCUGUAAACCAAACGUUUACUUUCAGGGUUUCUUCUGUCUUUGUAAGUCUGAUUAUUGUGCACCAAUUUAAGGUCAGUAAUGUCUGAGUAUGAUGAAAGGUGAAGUUCAGGCCCCAGGUCUUCUCUGAGCACACAUAAUCGCCGUCUUCAUGCCAUAAUGACUCACUGAUGGAUGGCCUAAUUACACUCAAAAACGUCCCGGUUUGAACUUGCCUCAUGUUGGAGCUUCAACCCAUAGAAAAAUGUGGAGGAAGAGGCGUCCAGACCGACAGCAGGAGACCCAGAAAUGACAGUCAGUUGCCUUUCUACCCAGAAACACAUCACAGUUUCAGGAAAAAGCUGGCGGCAAAAGGAGAAAUUGUUCUACACGUCAUUUCAACGCAUAUAUAUAUAUAUAGAUAUAGAUAUAUCUAUAUAUACUUCCAGAUCGUGAC